AACCGAGUCGCGUGAACCGCAAAUCAGCGAACAAGCGUCAGCGAUAUUAAGCUCUUGCGCACGAAUCGCCCAUUGAAUUUAGGACUUGCUCCAGAUUCGGGAAAUGUGGCAAUUAAGGUUCCGAAAUUACGAAUUGCGCCAGGCAAGGAUCUGGGGCUAUAUAAACCCGUGGUCACGACCACGGAGAGCUCUUUGUGUAUUAUUAUUUUAGCAGUCAAUACUCUGUAGUCGCGGACGGAUUAAUUUCUCGCGUUAGUCUCAUUUAGGUAUCAUGUAUCGUAUCUCCAGCUGAGUAAAGAGUUCGCGUAAGUGAGAACAUAUGCACUAAAGAUAGAGUCACCGCGGAGAUACCUGCGAAAGUCCGACGUUUAUUAUUCACCAAUUAUUAGAGUCCCGUGUCGCGAGUGUACAACCAGACCAGAUCCUCGCCACAGCCGAUCCCGGGACAACUUGACAACGCCGCCGAUAGCAUAAGAUCAACGAUUGAUUUUUGGAAGUGGUGGAACAAAGUGGAAAAAUCAAAAACCGAUAUUUGUUUAAGGAUCGGAAAAAAUUAAAUCUUGUGGUUUCCGUCGUCUUGGAUGAGCGUGUCGAUAAGGUUGGCGACAAAUUCAGGUAUUUUUAAUGAUGCAUGAUGAUUUCUAUACGUUCAAUGAUUAAAAUUCAAUUACAUAUCUCGCUAAGCGUUAAAACCAAGGAGAUUUUCGAAAUGUUAAAUCUCCAAGAUAGAUCGAAUUUUGUCUCGUGUGGUGUUCGUUUCUCCUAAGGCGACAAGCCUAUCGCAUCCAAACUGCAAGCGGGACCGAAGAGACGGUUUACGGCGGUAAAGAGUAGUUGUCCGUGUGGGCUUCGUGUUGGUAACGAGCGGAUUAUACUCUCGGCAUGGUAUCAGAUGGUCCCGUACCUGGUUCCAUGGUUGUUAAUUAGGAUGGAUGCCCACGCCUUGGGCGACUUUUACGAGCGGAUACGGCGCGAACCGAAAUAGCGCAUCCGACGUUAACGCGCCGACCUUCCUUCGAAGAACCGUGGGAAUGGAGAAACUAAAUCAAGAUACGUACAAACGAAUUCCGAUAACCGUACAAUGUUCUGGCCUUCUGGAAUGCUACAUGAAGUAUUCACGUGUUUGAAUAAAUAGUUGAUCGAAAAUGAUUAUAUAAAUUAAUAAAAAGGUUUCAUAUUUUGUCAAUUUUAUAACGCUUAACGAUUAAAUAUAUUUCAUUUCUUUUGUGAACAUAUACUUGCUUUAUGACAAUGAAAUUGAUCGAUCGAAACGAAUCUCUCGUUGUAAUAUAUUUAUGUUGGA
This is a long non-coding RNA of Hylaeus anthracinus, 1303 nucleotides long. RefSeq lists it as uncharacterized. The transcript has 3 exons. The record is from RefSeq and is a predicted model, not a curated record. Lineage: Eukaryota; Metazoa; Arthropoda; Insecta; Hymenoptera; Colletidae.